AAUCAAGCGAUAGGUAAGGGCAUCUGGUGAAUGCCUUGGCAAUCAGAGGCGAAGAAGGACGUGAUACACUGCGAAAAGCCGUGGGGAGCUGUGAAUAGGCAUUGAUCCGCGGAUCUCCGAAUGGGGAAACCCACAGAGUAAUCUGUAUCAAUAUCUGAAUCUAUAGGGUAUUGAAGCGAACGCAGGGAACUGAAACAUCUAAGUACCUGUAGGAAAGGAAAUCAACCGAGACUCCGAGAGUAGUGGCGAGCGAAAUCGGACCAGCCAAUUUGCGAUUAGAUAAGAACCGGAAGUGUCUGGGAAGGCACAUCAUAGAGGGUGAUAGUCCCGUACGGGUAGAAAGUUUAAUUGUAAGAGAGUAGGGCGGAGCACGAGAAAUUCUGUCUGAAGAUAGGUCGACCACGAUCUAAGGCUAAGUACUACUGAUUGACCGAUAGUGAACCAGUACCGUGAGGGAAAGGUGAAAAGCACCCCGACAAGGGGAGUGAAAGAGAACCUGAAACCGGAUGCCUACAAGCAGUCGGAGGGGCAUUAAGCCCUGACGGCGUACCUUUUGUAUAAUGGGUCAGCGAGUUAGUUUAUGUAGCAAGCAUAAGCCGAUAGGUGGAUGCGUAGCGAAAGCGAGUGUUAAUAGCGCGUUAAGUUACAUGAAUUAGACCCGAAACCGAGUGAUCUAGCCAUGAACAGGUUGAAGGUUGGGUAACACCAACUGGAGGACCGAACCCACUCCCGUUGAAAAGGUAGGGGAUGAUUUGUGGCUAGGGGUGAAAGGCCAAUCAAACUCGGAAAUAGCUGGUUCUCCGCGAAAACUAUUUAGGUAGUGCGGUAGGCGAACACCAUGAGGGGUAGAGCACUGAAAGAGCUAAGGGGGAGCGAUCCUUACUAAACUUUAUCAAACUCCGAAUACUCAUGAGUGAUACUUACCAGACAGACAGUAGGUGCUAAGGUCUAUUGUCGAGAGGGAAAGAGCCCAGACCGUCAACUAAGGUCCCUAAAUUAUGGCUAAGUGGUAAAGGAAGUGGGAUAUCCAAAACAGUCAGGAGGUUGGCUUAGAAGCAGCCAUCCUUUAAAGAAAGCGUAAUAGCUCACUGAUCUAAAUAAGACGUCCUGCGCCGAAGAUGUAACGGGGCUAAAGCCAUAUACCGAAGUUACGGGAUUGUAUUGCAAUAGAUACAAUCGGUAGCGGAGCGUUCUGUAGGCCUGCGAAGGUGAACCGUAAGGUUUGCUGGAGGUAUCAGAAGUGAGAAUGCUGACAUGAGUAGCGAAAAGAAGAGUGAGAGACUCUUCCGCUGAAAGUCCAAGGUUUCCUGCGUAAAGCUAAUCUGCGCAGGGUUAGUCGGCCCCUAAGGCGAGGCAGAGAUGCGUAGCUGAUGGGAACACGGUUAAUAUUCCGUGACCAGUUAGGAAGUGACGGAUACAGUAGUUUGUACAUGCUUAAUGGAUUGUGUGUGCAAGUGAUGUGUCCCGGGAAAUAGCCCUAACGAAGACCGUACCCGAAACCGACACAGGUGGACAGGUAGAGUAUACCAAAGCGCUUGAGAGAACUAUGUUGAAGGAACUAGGCAAAAUGCUUGUGUAACUUCGGGAUAAGCAAGCCCGGUUUUAAGGCAACUUAAGGCCGGGGGCACAUACUAGGGGGUAGCGACUGUUUAACAAAAACACAGGACUCUGCGAAAUUGAAAGAUGAAGUAUAGGGUCUGACGCCUGCCCGGUGCCGGAAGGUUAAGGAGAGAUGUGAGAGCAUUGAACUGAAGCCCCGGUAAACGGCGGCCGUAACUAUAACGGUCCUAAGGUAGCGAAAUUCCUUGUCGGGUAAGUUCCGACCUGCACGAAUGGCGUAACGACUUCCCCGCUGUCU
Azospirillum sp. 51_20 is the source of this 1858-nucleotide non-coding RNA. NCBI's taxonomy places the organism in Bacteria, Pseudomonadati, Pseudomonadota, Alphaproteobacteria, Rhodospirillales, Azospirillaceae. The record is from Rfam.